GUUCAAUUUGAGUCUGAAUGAGUAGGAAGAAAAACAAUCAUAAAUGACUUCAAACAUUAUGCCUGUAAGCAGAUGACUGCAGCCAAGGACUUGAAGAGAAAGGUUGGCAAAAUAGGCGUGAAGGUUAAAAAAACGUGUGUGUGACAAAAUCUGCACUAGAGAUGGAAAGCUUCUCUGGUGGUGUUUGUAAUAGCCAGAACCUGGAAGCAACCUAGAUGCCUCUCAACUGAAGAAUGGAUGGAGAAAAUGUGGUACAUUAACACAAUGGAAUACUACUCAGCGGGAAAAAAUGGAAUCUUGGAAUUCACAGUCAAGUGGAUGGAACUAGAAGAAACCAUCCUGAGUGAGGUAACCCAGUCACAAAAAGACAAACAUGAUUCUGUGUGUUAUUUACAGCAACAGACUCAUACUCGUGCACACUCUAACCUGAUUGGCUUUAUUGCAGAAGGAAAUAAUUAAGUCAGCAUGCCAAAAAGGAUGGAAGGGAUUGCAUUACAGUGAUUAACACUAUCAUUAAAUAUUGCAAUGAUCACAAACUGGCACUUUCUACUAUACUUGCAUUGAAUUUUAUUUGGCUGAGACAGAAAUGUGUAUGUGUUUGGG
RNAcentral lists this long non-coding RNA (603 nucleotides) under Cricetulus griseus (Chinese hamster). RNAcentral describes it as "lncRNA (ENSCGRG00015041171.1)". Lineage: Eukaryota; Metazoa; Chordata; Mammalia; Rodentia; Cricetidae. The record is from RNAcentral.